Long non-coding RNA from Etheostoma spectabile (orangethroat darter), 94 nucleotides. RefSeq lists it as uncharacterized. NCBI's taxonomy places the organism in Eukaryota, Metazoa, Chordata, Actinopteri, Perciformes, Percidae. The record is from RefSeq and is a predicted model, not a curated record. The transcript is spliced from 3 exons.
UAUUGUUUUUUGUGUGCACACUGGUCCUCAUUUACCAAUAUCUUCCUAAGUUUCUUCUUAAAUUUGUUCUUAAGAAAGUUCCUAAGAAAAGUCU